RNAcentral lists this ribosomal RNA (914 nucleotides) under uncultured archaeon. RNAcentral describes it as "bacterial SSU rRNA". It matches the Rfam family "Archaeal small subunit ribosomal RNA", at positions 1 to 922 of the family's 1478-position model. The record is from RNAcentral.
UUCCGGUUGAUCCCGCCGGACCUGACUGCUAUCGGAUUGAUACUAAGCCAUGUGAGUCAUUGUAGCAAUACAAGGCAGACGGCUCAGUAACACGUAGUCAAUCUACCCUAUGGACGGGGAUAACCUCGGGAAACUGAGGAUAACACCCGAUAGAUCAUAAUGCCUGGAACGGUUUAUGGUCCAAACGAUUCGUCGCCGUAGGAUGGGACUGCGGCCUAUCAGCUUGUUGGUGAGGUAAUGGCCCACCAAGGCUAUUACAGGUACGGGCUCUGAGAGGAGAAGCCCGGAGAUGGGUACUGAGACACGGACCCAGGCCCUAUGGGGCGCAGCAGGCGAGAAACCUUUGCAAUGUGCGCAAGCACGACAAGGUUAAUCCGAGUGUUUCCUGCUAAAGGAAUCUUUUGUUAGUCGUAAAACCACUAUCGAAUAAGGGGUGGGCAAGUUCUGGUGUCAGCCGCCGCGGUAAAACCAGCACCUCAAGUGGUCAGGAGGAUUAUUGGGCCUAAAGCAUCCGUAGCCUGUUCUAUAAGUUUCCGGUUAAAUCCAUUAGCUCAACUAAUGGGCUGCCGAAAAUACUGUAGAACUAGGGAGUGGGAGAGGUAGACGGUAUUCGGUAGGAAGGGGUAAAAUCCUUUGAUCUAUUGAGGACCACCUGUGGCGAAGGCGGUCUACCAGAACACGUUCGACGGUGAGGGAUGAAAGCUGGGGGAGCAAACCGGAUUAGAUACCCGGGUAGUCCCAGCCGUAAACGAUGCAGACUCGGUGAUGCGCUGGCUUGUGGCCAGUGCAGUGCCGCAGGGAAGCCGUUAAGUUUGCCGCCUGGGAAGUACGUACGCAAGUAUGAAACUUAAAGGAAUUGGCGGGGGAGCACCACAAGGGGUGAAGCCUGCGGUUCAAUUGGAGUCAACGCCGGA